This 253-nucleotide ribosomal RNA is filed under the name uncultured bacterium. RNAcentral describes it as "partial 16S ribosomal RNA". It matches the Rfam family "Bacterial small subunit ribosomal RNA", at positions 524 to 776 of the family's 1533-position model. The record is from RNAcentral.
UACAGAGGGGGCUAGCGUUGUUCGGAAUUACUGGGCGUAAAGGGCGCGUAGGUGGCCUGUUAAGUCGAACGUGAAAUCCCCGGGCUCAACCCGGGAACUGCGUCCGAGACUGGCAGGCUCGAAUCCGGGAGAGGGAUGUGGAAUUCCAGGUGUAGCGGUGAAAUGCGUAGAUAUCUGGAGGAACACCGGUGGCGAAGGCGGCAUCCUGGACCGGUAUUGACGCUGAGGCGCGAAAGCCAAGGGAGCAAACGGG